This 29-nucleotide non-coding RNA is filed under the name Mus musculus (house mouse). The record is from RNAcentral. Lineage: Eukaryota; Metazoa; Chordata; Mammalia; Rodentia; Muridae.
UCCCAANAAGGUGCUGUGCAUACUGCAUA